AAUGAACGCUGGCGGCAUGCCUAACACAUGCAAGUCGAACGAAGGCUUCGGCCUUAGUGGCGCACGGGUGCGUAACGCGUGGGAAUCUGCCCUUGGGUUCGGAAUAACUCAGAGAAAUUUGAGCUAAUACCGGAUGAUGACGUAAGUCCAAAGAUUUAUCGCCCAAGGAUGAGCCCGCGUAGGAUUAGCUUGUUGGUGAGGUAAAAGCUCACCAAGGCGACGAUCCUUAGCUGGUCUGAGAGGAUGAUCAGCCACACUGGGACUGAGACACGGCCCAGACUCCUACGGGAGGCAGCAGUGGGGAAUAUUGGACAAUGGGCGAAAGCCUGAUCCAGCAAUGCCGCGUGAGUGAUGAAGGCCUUAGGGUGUAAAGCUCUUUUUACCCGGGAAGAUAAUGACCGUACCGGGAGAAUAAGCCCCGGCUAACUCCGUGCCAGCAGCCGCGGUAAU
This 450-nucleotide ribosomal RNA is filed under the name uncultured bacterium. RNAcentral describes it as "bacterial SSU rRNA". It matches the Rfam family "Bacterial small subunit ribosomal RNA", at positions 29 to 524 of the family's 1533-position model. The record is from RNAcentral.